GCCAGGUGUGGUAGCACACGCCUGUAAUCCCAGCAGCUCGGGAGGCUGAGACAGGAGGAUCACAAGUUCAAAGCCAGCCUCAGCAAUUUAGGCCCUAAGUAACUCAGAGACCCUGUCUCUA
Molecule: small RNA, 121 nt
Filed under: Marmota monax (woodchuck)
Lineage: Eukaryota; Metazoa; Chordata; Mammalia; Rodentia; Sciuridae
Source: RNAcentral